This 256-nucleotide ribosomal RNA is filed under the name uncultured bacterium. Its description in RNAcentral is "partial 16S ribosomal RNA". It matches the Rfam family "Bacterial small subunit ribosomal RNA", at positions 524 to 776 of the family's 1533-position model. The record is from RNAcentral.
UACGUAGGGGGCAAGCGUUGUCCGGAUUUAUUGGGCGUAAAGAGCGUGUAGGCGGUCAGGUAGGUCCGUUGUGAAAACUCGAGGCUCAACCUCGAGACGCCGAUGGAAACCAUCUGACUAGAGUCCGGAAGAGGAGGAGUGGAAUUCCUGGUGUAGCGGUGAAAUGCGCAGAUAUCAGGAGGGAACACCCAAUGGCGAAGGCAGCACUCUGGGACGUGACUGACGCUGAGACGCGAAAGCGUGGGGAGCAAACAGG